UUUUUUUAUUUUCUUUUACAGUUUUACAAUAUUUUAAUAGGUCUUUGUGAAUCUAAUUAGAAGACCAGUUUGUGAGGGUACAUUCCAUUUGACAAGAAAAAUACUGAGUGCAGGCAUCCACGAAGCUGGGGCUCUUUCUUGACCAAUGGCAGGAGCUGAGAGUCCACGAAUUUCUGAUCUGCUUUGCGCUGUUGUGUGACUGCAUAUUUUUCCUUCUCUGUGUCAAAAAUCUCUCCCUCCUGGUGCUUGGGUCUGCACAUUACCUUUUGAAGUAUCAUUCAGAUGCUUUGGAAUGUUAACAGUUGAGAUAUCAACUUUGGUGGAAGUGGCAAUUACAAACUUUUGGUGAGCCCUACGCAGAGGCACUCUGUUGACAGCCAGUGGUCCUGUUACCAGCAAAAGGCCAGAUUGAAGCUGCUUCAGGAAGAUCACACGCUUUCCUCUGUGACGUGCGUUUAGAAGGAUAAGCACAGUCCCAGGAGUAAUUGAAGAGCGCAGAUUGCGCUUGUGCUUACUGAAAGGUUUCUUUCCGUGGCUCAGAAGUUUGCAUGGAACAUCUUCAAU
This is a non-coding RNA of Pelobates cultripes (western spadefoot toad), 564 nucleotides long. NCBI's taxonomy places the organism in Eukaryota, Metazoa, Chordata, Amphibia, Anura, Pelobatidae. The record is from the annotation of a GenBank genome assembly.